CACGCAGGCGGUUCUGCGCGUUUCGAGUGACAGCGGGUGGCUUAACUGCCCGAGUAUUCGAAAGACGGCAGGACUUGAGGACCAGAGAGGGACACGGAAUUCCGGGUGGAGUGGUGAAAUGCGUAGAGAUCCGGAGGAACACCGAGGGCGAAGGCAGUGUCCUGGCUGGUAACUGACGCUGAGGUGCGAAAGCCAGGGGAGCGAACGGGAUUAGAUACCCCGGUAGUCCUGGCCGUAAACGAUGACCACCAGGUGUGGGAGGGAUCGACCCCUUCCGUGCCGGAGUAAACACACUAAGUGGUCCGCCUGGGGAGUACGGUCGCAAGAUUAAA
This 332-nucleotide ribosomal RNA is filed under the name uncultured bacterium. RNAcentral describes it as "bacterial SSU rRNA". It matches the Rfam family "Bacterial small subunit ribosomal RNA", at positions 568 to 898 of the family's 1533-position model. The record is from RNAcentral.